CCUACGGGCGGCACCAGUGGGGAAUAUUGGACAGUGGGCGCAAGCCUGAUCCAGCCGUGCCGCGUGAGUGAAGAAGGCCUUAGGGUUGUAAAGCUCUUCCACCGGUGAAGAUAAUGACGGUAACCGGAGAAGAAGCCCCGGCUAGCUUCGUGCCAGCAGCCGCGGUAAUACGGAGGGUGCUAGCGUUGUUCGGAAUUACUGGGCGUAAAGCGCGCGUAGGCGGAUAGAUAAGUCAGAGGUGAAAUCCCGGGGCUCAACCCCGGAAUUGCCUUUGAUACUGUUUAUCUUGAGUGCAGAAGAGGUAAGUGGAAUUCCGAGUGUAGAGGUGAAAUUCGUAGAUAUUCGGAGGAACACCAGUGGCGAAGGCGGCUUACUGGUCUGCAACUGACGCUGAGGCGCGAAAGCGUGGGGAGCAAACAGGAUUAGAUACCCGAGUAGUC
This 440-nucleotide ribosomal RNA is filed under the name uncultured bacterium. RNAcentral's name for it is "bacterial SSU rRNA". It matches the Rfam family "Bacterial small subunit ribosomal RNA", at positions 338 to 795 of the family's 1533-position model. The record is from RNAcentral.